Molecule: long non-coding RNA, 2756 nt
Filed under: Citrus x clementina
Lineage: Eukaryota; Viridiplantae; Streptophyta; Magnoliopsida; Sapindales; Rutaceae
Description: Citrus clementina (C. clementina) long non-coding RNA (CCLE_LNC006752)
Source: RNAcentral
AAGGACGCCUUACCAACAAAUUAUUCAAUGCCAACAAAAAAUAAUUCAAUAUAUAUUAUUUGAGGUAUAAUCUAUCGGCAAUCAUUAAUAAAAGACAAACUUCAAUAGAUAAUAGCGUCUUUUCUCUCAAAAUAUUGUUUUUAUUUGGAAAAUGCGGCAAGAACUUCAAAAACGUGGUUGCCUUCUAGAAGAUUAGUUUUUUGGUGGCUCACAUCCAUUCCACGUACCUUAUUAAUUUAGGUCGACUUAUGAACUUUUGUAUGGUAAAGAUUCACUAAAACCUAAUAAAAUUCAAGUUUCUAACACCUUUUCUUUUUCUGUCUUAUUUUGUUGAUUUCAUAAAAGUCAAUCCUAAUACUUUUUCUGGAUUAGUUGGUGGCUAAAUCAUGAAGAAAUUUUAGAUAAUUUUUCUGUGAUCAUUAAACUUUUGCUAUUGAAGCUGUCCAACCAGUAGGUUUAAUUGUGCAGCCAGGCUGUGUUUUGAAGAACGCAAAAUUCUUCUUAUCCAAAAAAGUAAAUAAUUAUAAGGCUUGCAUCAGUCAUUCAAUAAUGAGUAUAUGCAAAUAAAAAAAUUGUGCAUUCACCUUUUAAAUUCAUACAUUUUAAGCAUAUAUAAUUGCUCGAGCUUGUAUCAGUUGUGACUCGGUUUCCACUCUUAAAAUCUUCGGUCAUGGAUUCUUGUAAUAGCCUGAAAUCAUACAAAGGUCUUUUACAUUUUUUUUUUCUUUGAUAGUAUUCCUUGAUGAAUUGUAAUCAGCAGUUUCAAAUGCCUGGAAGGAUAUAAACGAACAGUGCCUCCGCCAAAAUGCAGUGCCAAUGUCACUCCUUAAUUAUGCCAAUUCUCACUUUUAAGAUGGCUACACUAAUACUGAAAGAUUUUGUUGCUUCUCUGCUCAUUAAUCCUGUGCCUACAGAGCAUAAUAGACUCAAGCUUAGUGUUUUUCGACUUCGUCCCUGCUUAAUAACCCUGAUGCCAUUAUGAGCUUGGAUUUGGGUUUUUGUUUCUAAAAAUUGAAAGGUGGUCAUCCCACAUUGUAAGCACACCAUAAAUAGCUAAGUUAUAAACUUACAAUAAAUAAUAGAGUUAUUGGUACUACGUAAUUUAUCUAUUUUAAUUUGUAGUCUUUAAUUAAAAUAAAUAAAACGUAAUUCUUAUAGCAAUAUUUUGUGAAACAGAAAUAUUGAAACUAUUGGGCUUCUUUCAACAAACUUGCAUGAUAUAUGUCACAAACAAAAUAGUUGAAAUAUUAUGGCGCAUGCAAUAGCAAUAGCACACAUUUGUUGGGCAAUUUGAUCCUUUUCCAUAGGAAGGGUAAAAUAGUUAAAUUAAAAUUUAUCUUCACAUGAAAAAAUUAAGAGCUAAGAACAAAAUCAAGAUUAAAAGGAUGAAAAUUUUAUGAUGUCGUGAUUAAAAUUACGGUAUCAAUACCAUGAUAAGUAUAAAUUUUAUAAAUUACACAUAAGACCAAUGAAUGGAAGGUAAAACAAAGAAACUAAUAUAAGAAUGGUAAAUUGGUGUUUUAUAAUUACAAGCAAAAUAAAUGCUUGUGAAAAUUACAAGAAACUUAUAAAUAGACAUCAAACUUUAAUUAAAUAAAUAAUUAUUUAUUUAUUUAUUUGAUUUAAUUAAAUAAAAAAUUACUCAUCAAUUUACUUUUAAUUGAUUGACAUUGAAUCAUAAAUUGAUUGAUAUAGAAAGUUUUAAUUAAUUGAUAUUGAAACAUGAGUCCAGGCCAAAUAAAUGUAAUUGAUUAAUUUCCUUUUACAUGAUUCAUUACUAUCUUUCUGAAAAGUUGUCACUGUAGUUUUGGAGGUCAAAGAAACAAGCAACAAAAUGUUUCAACUUUGGCAGGCCACAGAUUGGAAAUCGACUACAGUAAGCCUUUUGAUACCCCUCAAAAGUCAAAAUUCCUCAUAAAAUCAACUAGAAUAAGCUUUUUGAAGCCUUUCAUUUUCCGAAAUUUAUUGCACUAUUCCUCUUCCGUUGUGCCAAUAAAUUCUUAAGCCUAAAGCCAGGAACUAUAGAAUCAAAUUUUAGCACGUCGGGACAUUAAGUCACGCCGAAACGGACAUUAUUUUAUCUGUUUUUUUGAAAAAAAAAAUUUACUCCCACAAUUAUAUACAACUUUAUAAGAAGACUCAAAGUCGAUAUUAAAAAAAAAAAAAGACAAGUAUCAACCAACUAAAUUAAGCUGACGAGUGGUUUGCUUCUUUUUUCUUUUUAAGAACCACAGGGAAAUUGGAAGAAAAAAAAAACGUGCAAGUAGUUAGCGGAUGUAAUAAUGAGCCUUAUCCUUUAAAUGAAGUCCCCCUAAGUUACAUGCAUGUAACUUACAACCCUCUCAUAUGAAUAGUGAGUGGACCUACACCAUUCACUAUUCAUAUGAAAAUGUUGUAAGUUACAUGCAUGUAUUUUAGCAUUAGCCUUAAAUGAAACAUGGAACCAUACUCUCAAAGCAAAGCCACCAUACAAGAUAUCCCAAAAACAACAAAAAGUGAAACCAACUAAACAAAUAUUGAUAAUAUUCCAUUAGCCAAAGUACUUACAAUUCCAGCAAACCAAAAAGCUUAGCCGUUAAUGCGCAUUGUCGCCAUUAGUUUAAGUUGGAAAAUGAGCAAAUGUUGGUGUUUAAUGGAUGAGGUUUCUUAUUCCCCUCCAAACCAUAAAAAAGAAUAAAGUAUUAGUGGAGAAAUUAAAGAAAAAAAUUAGAUAAUAAGCUAACAUUGUCACAAAUUUAGAAGCUGAGUUAAAAAAU